Salvia splendens (bonfire salvia) is the source of this 754-nucleotide long non-coding RNA. RefSeq lists it as uncharacterized. The record is from RefSeq and is a predicted model, not a curated record. NCBI's taxonomy places the organism in Eukaryota, Viridiplantae, Streptophyta, Magnoliopsida, Lamiales, Lamiaceae. The transcript is spliced from 3 exons.
AUAAACAUUUCUCUCUUUUCUCCUUGGUUUCCAGUAAGAGAAUAACAUCACAGCACAAGAUCUCUACAUAGCUAACAUUGCCUGAAAAUUACAAGCCUAUUUCUUUUUUACCAAAAUUCUACUCCUUUGAUGGAUUGAUAGUUCACAUGUUUUUGCCGCUCUACACAUCUUUCUCCUUUUUUCAUUUUAUUUCGCCCAAUAUUCUGUCAAAAAUGCGAUAAUACCAAAAACAGAGAGAUGAAAAAAGUACUACUAGUUUGGAAGCAUAAAUUGAGGUGCGUGAUGGAGUUGGAGAUGGGUGUUGUCUCUCAGGGAAGGAGUUCUUUGAUGUUAUUGUGUCAAAGUCACAUGUCACCCUCAAUCAUUAUCUGCGUCCACCAACACACAUUCUUCCCAAAUUUCCUGAUGCAAAGGUGCCUUUGGUGACAAGCAAUGGCAGAUGAUGAUGAUGAUGAUGAUGAUGUAUCUUGGAAGAAAUUCGUGACUGAUAACAAUCUGAAAGAGGGAAAUGAUGGAGUCGAGCCCUCAGAUCCUCAGGCAUCAUCAGGAACACCAUGGAUCUGCCGCCGGCACUGCUGAUUCAAUCCCAGGGAAAGACACCGGAGACGGCUAUAGAGCUUUGGCUUCACUAUGUUCACCAUUAAGCUUUACAAUUCUGUCUCUGUAGACUCUUAUGUGCCUUGUGGAAGCUGGAUUUAAUGUUUUGGUAAUUUGUAGUGAAACUCAAAUGUAUGAAUACUUGGUUAUUUGGGUA